Molecule: small nuclear RNA, 150 nt
Filed under: Dasypus novemcinctus (nine-banded armadillo)
Lineage: Eukaryota; Metazoa; Chordata; Mammalia; Cingulata; Dasypodidae
Description: U2 spliceosomal RNA (ENSDNOG00000046605.1)
Rfam family: U2 spliceosomal RNA
About the family: U2 is a small nuclear RNA (snRNA) component of the spliceosome (involved in pre-mRNA splicing). Complementary binding between U2 snRNA (in an area lying towards the 5' end but 3' to hairpin I) and the branchpoint sequence (BPS) of the intron results the bulging out of an unpaired adenosine, on the BPS, which initiates a nucleophilic attack at the intronic 5' splice site, thus starting the first of two transesterification reactions that mediate splicing.
Source: RNAcentral
AGUAUCUGUUCUUAUCAGUUUGACACCUGAUACGUCCCCUAUCCGAGGACAAUAUAUUAAAUGGAUUUUUGGAGCUGGGAGAGGGAAUGGGGGCUUGUCCGUUCACUCCAUGCAUUUGACCUGGUAUUGUAGUACUUCCAGGAACGGUGC